This 74-nucleotide transfer RNA is filed under the name bacterium. RNAcentral's name for it is "tRNA-Arg". It matches the Rfam family "tRNA". Rfam says of the family: Transfer RNA (tRNA) molecules are approximately 80 nucleotides in length. Their secondary structure includes four short double-helical elements and three loops (D, anti-codon, and T loops). The record is from RNAcentral.
GCCCAACUGGCUCAAUUGGAUAGAGCAUCAGACUUCUAAUCUGGGGGUUACAGGUUCAAGUCCUGUGUUGGGUG